Molecule: microRNA precursor, 67 nt
Filed under: Mustela putorius furo (domestic ferret)
Lineage: Eukaryota; Metazoa; Chordata; Mammalia; Carnivora; Mustelidae
Description: miRNA (ENSMPUG00000020899.1)
Source: RNAcentral
UGUGUAUGUGUGUGUAUGUAUGUGUAUACACACACACACACACACACACACACGCACACACACACAC